This 253-nucleotide ribosomal RNA is filed under the name uncultured bacterium. Its description in RNAcentral is "partial 16S ribosomal RNA". It matches the Rfam family "Bacterial small subunit ribosomal RNA", at positions 524 to 776 of the family's 1533-position model. The record is from RNAcentral.
UACGUAGGGUGCGAGCGUUAAUCGGAAUUACUGGGCGUAAAGCGUGCGCAGGCGGUUUUGUAAGCCAGAUGUGAAAUCCCCGGGCUUAACCUGGGAAUGGCAUUUGGGACUGCAAGGCUUGAGUGCGGCAGAGGAGACUGGAAUUCCUGGUGUAGCAGUGAAAUGCGUAGAUAUCAGGAGGAACACCGAUGGCGAAGACAGGUCUCUGGGCUGACACUGACGCUCAUGCACGAAAGCGUGGGGAGCAAACAGG